Long non-coding RNA from Eriocheir sinensis (Chinese mitten crab), 421 nucleotides. RefSeq lists it as uncharacterized. The record is from RefSeq and is a predicted model, not a curated record. NCBI's taxonomy places the organism in Eukaryota, Metazoa, Arthropoda, Malacostraca, Decapoda, Varunidae. The transcript has 3 exons.
GAAAAAGUUUAAGUCGUAGGAAGGAUGUAAAAGUCAAUAAAAGAGAGGCAGACAGGUGGUAAUACGGACAGGUAAGAACGUACAGGUAAACUGACAGGUAAGAAAGGUAGGAACGUAAAGGUAGGAAAAUACAGGUGGGAAAAUACAGGUAGGAAAAUACAGAUGGGAAAAUACAGGUGGGAAAAUACAGGUAGGAAAAUACAGGUUGGAAAAUACAGGUAGGAAAAUACAGGUAGAGAAAUACUGGUAGGAAAAUACAGGUAGGAAAAUACAGGUUGGAAAAUACAGGUGGGAAAAUACAGGUAGGAAAAAUCAGGUUGCCAGCUCACCUCCACUACACCAGCAUAUGGAUGAGGAAGAUGAUAAGCGCCCCAACAACCAAGAACCCGAGGAAGUUGAACCCAAUGAGGGGAUCGUGCUU